This 245-nucleotide long non-coding RNA is filed under the name Medicago truncatula (barrel medic). RNAcentral describes it as "long non-coding RNA (MTRU_LNC002699)". Lineage: Eukaryota; Viridiplantae; Streptophyta; Magnoliopsida; Fabales; Fabaceae. The record is from RNAcentral.
CAUCAAAAGAUGUAAUUCUAUAGCUUGAUUUAUUCUUAAUUUAUUAAGGGACAAUUCAACCUCAAUAAGUAACUUCUUCGGUAGACAUAGCAGAUCGAAACGUCUUAAAAUUGUUGUUUUUGGAUUUCCAAACAGUUGUAUUUGGAUUUCCAAAUUCUAUUAUCUACCGAAGUUGUUACUAGGUUGAGUCACGACCAGGUCGCUCUCUUUAAGACGUUUUGUGGCACUGCCCAAAAUUGUGCAAG